UGCGACUCAACCGCCGUUUUCUUUUUGAUCAGCUAGAAGAACUUUUGUUUUUUAUAAUACCAGUGUUUUUCUGUUCUUGCAUAACAAAGAUAUAAUCUAAUCUCCAAGGUUUAUUUGUCAAAAGAAUCACUAGAUCUGGAAAGGAGCAAGGGUUUGAAUUUUUAUUAAUUUGGGAUGCAAGUUCACCUGAGAUUUAAUAUGCAGGUAUCUCAUAGGAGUCUUUUCAAAAUAAAAGCUUAACUAAGGGAAAGUUCAUAGACUUUUUUCAACCAGCGAACUUACAAGAUUUAGUUGCCCAAAUGAAGGGGUUUCUUUGUGCAGACUGUGAAUCGAAUAGGAACAAACAAGUUUCAAGUAGGAUGAAACUCCGGGGCUUUGCAUGUCAGACCGAGUUCUGCAGUUAGGUCAGCACUGGGUUAUUGAGUUUCUAAGGCUGAGGAUGCCCGUGCUAGUGUACAGUCUUCCAGAUAAGGAAAAGAAAAUUGCACCUGGAGGCAACAAGAAGAGUCAAGAGUAAUUU
This 520-nucleotide long non-coding RNA is filed under the name Homo sapiens (human). Its description in RNAcentral is "HSALNT0193717". The record is from RNAcentral. Lineage: Eukaryota; Metazoa; Chordata; Mammalia; Primates; Hominidae.